RNAcentral lists this ribosomal RNA (430 nucleotides) under uncultured archaeon. Its description in RNAcentral is "bacterial SSU rRNA". It matches the Rfam family "Archaeal small subunit ribosomal RNA", at positions 474 to 903 of the family's 1478-position model. The record is from RNAcentral.
UACCUGCAGCUCAAGUGGUGACCGCUAUUAUUGGGCCUAAAACGUUCGUAGCUGGUUUGGUAAAUGCCUGGGUAAAUCGUGUAGCUCAACUAUACGAAUUCCGGGUAGACUGUCAAACUUGAGACCGGGAGAAGCUAGAGGUACUCCUGGGGUAGAGGUGAAAUUCUGUAAUCCUGGGGGGACCACCAGUGGCGAAGGCGUCUAGCUAGAACGGGUUUGACGGUGAGGAACGAAGCCCUAGGGGCGCAAACCGGAUUAGAUACCCGGGUAGUCCAGGGUGUAAACGCUGCUUGCUUGAUGUUAGUUGGGCUCCGAGCCCAAUUAGUGUCGGAGAGAAGUUGUUAAGCAAGCUGCCUGGGAAGUACGAUCGCAAGAUUGAAACUUAAAGGAAUUGGCGGGGGAGCACAGCAACGGGUGGAGCGUGCGGUUU